This 327-nucleotide unclassified non-coding RNA is filed under the name uncultured fungus. RNAcentral describes it as "partial contains small subunit ribosomal RNA, internal transcribed spacer 1, and 5.8S ribosomal RNA". The stretch from base 1 to 73 matches the Rfam family "Eukaryotic small subunit ribosomal RNA", at positions 1759 to 1831 of the family's 1831-position model. Lineage: Eukaryota; Fungi. The record is from RNAcentral.
UCAAACUUGGUCAUUUAGAGGAAGUAAAAGUCGUAACAAGGUUUCCGUAGGUGAACCUGCGGAAGGAUCAUUACUGAAUUCCAUCAGGACGGAGCUGUCGCUGGCCCCUCCGCAAGGGGGGCAUGUGCACGCCUCGUUCGUCCAACCCAAUCACCCUUGUGCACCUUUCGCAGGAGAGAUGAAUGGAUGCCGGCCGUCUGGCUUCGCGUCUUUCGUUCUCGUGCGUCUUAUUUUAUAAACGCUUCAGUUUUGUAAUGUUGUUAUAUGCAUCUAUAUACAACUUUCAGCAACGGAUCUCUUGGCUCUCGCAUCGAUGAAGAACGCAGC